AGAGUUUGAUCCUGGCUCAGGAUGAACGCUGGCGGCGUGCCUAACACAUGCAAGUCGAGCGAUUCUCUUCGGAGAAGAGCGGCGGACGGGUGAGUAACGCGUGGGUAACCUGCCCUGUACACACGGAUAACAUACCGAAAGGUAUGCUAAUACGAGAUAAUAUACUUUUAUCGCAUGGUAGAAGUAUCAAAGCUCCGGCGGUACAGGAUGGACCCGCGUCUGAUUAGCUAGUUGGUAAGGUAACGGCUUACCAAGGCGACGAUCAGUAGCCGACCUGAGAGGGUGAUCGGCCACAUUGGAACUGAGACACGGUCCAAACUCCUACGGGAGGCAGCAGUGGGGAAUAUUGCACAAUGGGCGAAAGCCUGAUGCAGCAACGCCGCGUGAGCGAUGAAGGCCUUCGGGUCGUAAAGCUCUGUCCUCAAGGAAGAUAAUGACGGUACUUGAGGAGGAAGCCCCGGCUAACUACGUGCCAGCAGCCGCGGUAAUACGUAGGGGGCUAGCGUUAUCCGGAAUUACUGGGCGUAAAGGGUGCGUAGGUGGUUUCUUAAGUCAGAGGUGAAGGGCUACGGCUCAACCGUAGUAAGCCUUUGAAACUGGGAAACUUGAGUGCAGGAGAGGAGAGUGGAAUUCCUAGUGUAGCGGUGAAAUGCGUAGAUAUUAGGAGGAACACCAGUUGCGAAGGCGGCUCUCUGGACUGUAACUGACACUGAGGCACGAAAGCGUGGGGAGCAAACAGGAUAGAUACCCUGGUAGUCCACGCCGUAAACGAUGAGUACUAGCUGUCGGAGGUUACCCCCUUCGGUGGCGCAGCUAACGCAUUAAGUACUCCGCCUGGGAAGUACGCUCGCAAGAGUGAAACUCAAAGGAAUUGACGGGGGCCCGCACAAGUAGCGGAGCAUGUGGUUUAAUUCGAAGCAACGCGAAGAACCUUACCUAAGCUUGACAUCCUUUUGACCGAUGCCUAAUCGCAUCUUUCCCUUCGGGGACAGAAGUGACAGGUGGUGCAUGGUUGUCGUCAGCUCGUGUCGUGAGAUGUUGGGUUAAGUCCCGCAACGAGCGCAACCCUUGCCUUUAGUUGCCAGCAUUAAGUUGGGCACUCUAGAGGGACUGCCAGGGAUAACCUGGAGGAAGGUGGGGAUGACGUCAAAUCAUCAUGCCCCUUAUGCUUAGGGCUACACACGUGCUACAAUGGGUGGUACAGAGGGCAGCCAAGUCGUGAGGCGGAGCUAAUCCCUUAAAGCCAUUCUCAGUUCGGAUUGUAGGCUGAAACUCGCCUACAUGAAGCUGGAGUUACUAGUAAUCGCAGAUCAGAAUGCUGCGGUGAAUGCGUUCCCGGGUCUUGUACACACCGCCCGUCACACCACGGGAGUUGGGGGCGCCCGAAGCCGGAUUGCUAACCUUUUGGAAGCGUCCGUCGAAGGUGAAAUCAAUAACUGGGGUGAAGUCGUAACAAGGUA
This 1460-nucleotide ribosomal RNA is filed under the name metagenome. Its description in RNAcentral is "bacterial SSU rRNA". It matches the Rfam family "Bacterial small subunit ribosomal RNA". The record is from RNAcentral.